GACGAAGGAUUCAAGCGUUGUCCGGAUUUACUGGGGUUAAAGGGUGCGUAGGCGGAAAUAUAAGUCAGUGGUGAAAUCCCGCAGCUCAACUGCGGAACUGCCAUUGAAACUGCAUUUCUUGAAUACGGUUGAGGUAGAUGGAAUGUAACAUGUAGCGGUGAAAUGCUUAGAUAUGUUACAGAACUCCGAUUGCGAAGGCAGUCUACUAAGCCGUUAUUGACGCUGAGGCACGAAAGCGUGGGGAGCAAACAGG
RNAcentral lists this ribosomal RNA (253 nucleotides) under uncultured bacterium. RNAcentral's name for it is "partial 16S ribosomal RNA". It matches the Rfam family "Bacterial small subunit ribosomal RNA", at positions 524 to 776 of the family's 1533-position model. The record is from RNAcentral.